Molecule: ribosomal RNA, 253 nt
Filed under: uncultured bacterium
Lineage: Bacteria
Description: partial 16S ribosomal RNA
Rfam family: Bacterial small subunit ribosomal RNA
Source: RNAcentral
UACGGAGGGGGUUAGCGUUGUUCGGAAUUACUGGGCGUAAAGCGCGCGUAGGCGGAUUAGAAAGUUGGGGGUGAAAUCCCGGGGCUCAACCCCGGAACUGCCUCCAAAACUNCUNGUCUUGAGUUCGAGAGAGGUGAGUGGAAUUCCGAGUGUAGAGGUGAAAUUCGUAGAUAUUCGGAGGAACACCAGUGGCGAAGGCGGCUCACUGGCUCGAUACUGACGCUGAGGUGCGAAAGUGUGGGGAGCAAACAGG